UACGGAGGGUGCAAGCGUUGUCCGGAUUUAUUGGGCGUAAAGAGCGUGUAGUCGGCCAGGUAGGUCUGCUGUGAAAACUCGAGGCUCAACCUCGAGACGUCGGCGGAAACCAUCUGGCUAGAGUCCGGAAGAGGAGAGUGGAAUUCCUGGUGUAGCGGUGAAAUGCGUAGAUAUCGGGAGGAACACCAGUGGCGAAGGCGACUUCCUGGCCUGUUCUUGACGCUGAGGCGCGAAAGCUGGGGGAGCAAACGGG
RNAcentral lists this ribosomal RNA (253 nucleotides) under uncultured bacterium. RNAcentral's name for it is "partial 16S ribosomal RNA". It matches the Rfam family "Bacterial small subunit ribosomal RNA", at positions 524 to 776 of the family's 1533-position model. The record is from RNAcentral.